AGGGGUGUAGCUCAGUGGUAGAGUCCUUGCCUGGCGUGCAUGAGGCUCUGGGUUUGACCCCCAGUGCCUUUG
Molecule: transfer RNA, 72 nt
Filed under: Marmota monax (woodchuck)
Lineage: Eukaryota; Metazoa; Chordata; Mammalia; Rodentia; Sciuridae
Rfam family: tRNA
About the family: Transfer RNA (tRNA) molecules are approximately 80 nucleotides in length. Their secondary structure includes four short double-helical elements and three loops (D, anti-codon, and T loops).
Source: Rfam by way of RNAcentral